Molecule: long non-coding RNA, 683 nt
Filed under: Drosophila guanche
Lineage: Eukaryota; Metazoa; Arthropoda; Insecta; Diptera; Drosophilidae
Source: RNAcentral
GUCGGGGCUUACGAAUGGGGGAGGAUGGGAGCCGGAGCUGAGAAGUAUGGAACACAUUUUCAGCAACCACGAAAUUUGAUCAGAGAUAAAUUCCAAUUAUUAAAAUCGAAUUUGCACAGCAAGUCAGAGAAUGCACACAACCAAGAACGCACUCACUCACACUCUGGCAGACAGACUUUUGUAGUUGCAUGCAACAUGCAAUGGGCGUGGCAUGGUGGGUGGCUAUUUGGAGGGCAUUGCAACAUUUUAUCAAAUUCUAAUUAUGCAAAAUAGAAGGGAAAAAAGCAAUUAAGCCGAAUGUCCCAAAACUGUAGCAAGUCCCCUGUAAAAUGCACAAAUUAUCAGAUCUCUGACGGGAAUAAAAUGGCUGGGAGAAGUAGUUCCCCUCUCUUAGUUCCUUUUCCAAUUACUGCUGGCUGUUUGUGAUAGGAAAUCUUUCUGUGGUUCAGAGGUACCGUUGGAUCAAUACAAUUUCAAUACAAAAGUGUGCUGAGAAAUGUAACUAAAUUGCUCUCGAAUUUAUUCCACAUUGGGUUCAUUUCCUCAAUAAAUGUGCUGUUAAAUGGCCCUGUUUCUGCUUCAACAAAUUGUCAAAACCUACAAAUCAACAAUAACUAAAUCUAUGCUGUGGUUUUUUUCUAGCUGGGCGUUCCCAUGCACUUAUGUAAGUGGGGUUGGGUGGG